GGUUUAAUUCGAAGCAACGCGAAGAACCUUACCUAAGCUUGACAUCCCAAUGACAUCUCCUUAAUCGGAGAGUUCCCUUCGGGGACAUUGGUGACAGGUGGUGCAUGGUUGUCGUCAGCUCGUGUCGUGAGAUGUUGGGUUAAGUCCCGCAACGAGCGCAACCCUUGUCUUUAGUUGCCAUCAUUAAGUUGGGCACUCUAGAGAGACUGCCAGGGAUAACCUGGAGGAAGGUGGGGAUGACGUCAAAUCAUCAUGCCCCUUAUGCUUAGGGCUACACACGUGCUACAAUGGGUAGUACAGAGGGUUGCCAAGCCGUAAGGUGGAGCUAAUCCCUUAAAGCUACUCUCAGUUCGGAUUGUAGGCUGAAACUCGCCUACAUGAAGCUGGAGUUACUAGUAAUCGCAGAUCAGAAUGCUGCGGUGAAUGCGUUCCCGGGUCUUGUACACACCGCCCGUCACACCACGGGAGUUGGAGACGCCCGAAGCCGAUUAUCUAACCUUUUGGAAGAAGUCGUCGAAGGUGGAAUCAAUAACUGGGGUGAAGUCGUAACAAGGUAGCCGUAUCGGAAGGUGCGGCUGGAUCACCUCCUUU
RNAcentral lists this ribosomal RNA (591 nucleotides) under Clostridioides difficile. RNAcentral describes it as "bacterial SSU rRNA". It matches the Rfam family "Bacterial small subunit ribosomal RNA", at positions 943 to 1533 of the family's 1533-position model. Lineage: Bacteria; Bacillati; Bacillota; Clostridia; Peptostreptococcales; Peptostreptococcaceae. The record is from RNAcentral.